UACACUCCUGCGGGAGGCAGCAGUGGGGAAUUUUGGACAAUGGGCGAAAGCCUGAUCCAGCAAUGCCGCGUGAGUGAAGAAGGCCUUCGGGUUGUAAAGCUCUUUUGUCAGGGAAGAAACGGUGAGAGCUAAUAUCUCUUGCUAAUGCCGGUACCUGAAGAAUAAGCACCGGCUAACUACGUGCCAGCAGCCGCGGUAAUACGUAGGGUGCAAGCGUUAAUCGGAAUUACUGGGCGUAAAGCGUGCGCAGGCGGUUUUGUAAGUCUGAUGUGAAAUCCCCGGGCUCAACCUGGGAAUUGCAUGGGAGACUGCAAGGCUAGAAUCUGGCAGAGGGGGGUAGAAUUCCACGUGUAGCAGUGAAAUGCGUAGAUAUGUGGAGGAACACCGAUGGCGAAGGCAGCCCCCUGGGUCAAGAUUGACGCUCAUGCACGAAAGCGUGGGGAGCAAACAGGAUUAGAAACCCCUGUAGUCCCAUGA
Molecule: ribosomal RNA, 477 nt
Filed under: uncultured organism
Description: partial 16S ribosomal RNA
Rfam family: Bacterial small subunit ribosomal RNA
Source: RNAcentral